This 253-nucleotide ribosomal RNA is filed under the name uncultured bacterium. RNAcentral's name for it is "partial 16S ribosomal RNA". It matches the Rfam family "Bacterial small subunit ribosomal RNA", at positions 524 to 776 of the family's 1533-position model. The record is from RNAcentral.
GACGGGGGCUGCAAGCGCUAUCCGGAAUCACUGGGCGUAAAGCGUCUGUAGGUGGUGAUGCAAGUCACUGGUGCAAAACUCUGGCUCAACCGGAGGAAAGCCAGUGAAACUGCAUGACUAGAGUGUGGGAGAGGUAGAAGGAAUUCCAUGAGUAGCGGUGAAAUGCGUAGAUACAGGGAAGAACACCGGAGGCGAAAGCGUUCUACUGGAACACAACUGACACUGAGAGACGAAAGCUAGGGGAGCGAAUGGG